GAAUGUGAGAGUGAUCUGGCUGGAAUAUUGGUGUCCCCAUUGAUCACCAGUGUUGAUUCUGCUGAUAUGGCUAGGAAGGCUAGCUCCUCCUUCUUUCCUUACUUCCCAUGUUUGCAUCACCACGCCAAAGUUGUGUGCUCUCUGGCAUAUGAGGACCAAUCUUUGGUCAAAGGUGUAACUAUGUUCCCCUGUUAGAACCUCCAAACAAGAUGUCAACAUUUUGGAAUAUACUCUAAAAGUAUAAAUAAUUCUUUUAUGGAAAUAGAAGUUUGUUGUUCCCUGUUUU
Molecule: unclassified non-coding RNA, 286 nt
Organism: Cricetulus griseus (Chinese hamster)
Lineage: Eukaryota; Metazoa; Chordata; Mammalia; Rodentia; Cricetidae
Gene: 7SK
Rfam family: 7SK RNA
About the family: 7SK was discovered as an abundant small nuclear RNA in the mid-70s but a possible function has only recently been suggested.
Source: Ensembl